CUUGUGGCGGCCUACGUUGGGCUGCGUCUGGACCUUUCGGGGACCGGAUGCGGCCUGGCGGUCGGGCUGCUCUUGUUGUGCCGGAGAGAAAGGUAGUUGGCUUUCGGGCUGGCUGCUGUUUCCUUAGUGCGUUGAACAACCGGCUCAGAACU
This is a ribosomal RNA of Phytophthora infestans T30-4, 152 nucleotides long. The record is from RefSeq and is a predicted model, not a curated record. NCBI's taxonomy places the organism in Eukaryota, Oomycota, Peronosporomycetes, Peronosporales, Peronosporaceae.